This 380-nucleotide RNase P RNA is filed under the name Chthoniobacterales bacterium. Its description in RNAcentral is "RNase P RNA component class A". It matches the Rfam family "Bacterial RNase P class A". From Rfam's summary of the family: Ribonuclease P (RNase P) is a ubiquitous endoribonuclease, found in archaea, bacteria and eukarya as well as chloroplasts and mitochondria. The record is from RNAcentral. Lineage: Bacteria; Pseudomonadati; Verrucomicrobiota; Spartobacteria; Chthoniobacterales.
UGAUGGCAGAUGAUCGCUGGUGAAUUGAAGGAUUCGCCAGAGGAAAGUCCGAACACCACACGGCGGCAUGCCGCGUAGAACACGCGGGCAACCCCGGCGCAAGCCGGGUGUUGACGGAGAGUGUCACAGAAAACAUACCGCCCGUUCUUUGAAGAACAGGCAAGGGUGAAAAGGCGAGGCAAGAGCUCACCGCUCGCGAAGUAAUUCGCGAGGCACGAAAAACCCCAUGCGGUGCAAGACAAAACAGAGGAAGGGCAGCCGGCCCGCCGGUCUCGAAACCUUUCGAGACCAGAAUCCUCGGGUAUGUCGCUUAGAUAAAUGAUCAUCACGGUCCCGCGAUUGUCGGGACCGUACAGAAUUCGGCUUAUCGCCAUCGACAA